GGAAGAAACACAAAAGAAUUGGGUACUCUGUUGGGUACCUUUUCAAUAGCGAAAACUGCCAAUUCUGUAAAAAUUGGUCCCAUAGAAUGGUAUAAAUUGCUUGCCAAUAAAGGCCAAUUCAACAUUGUCGUAAUGUGUGAAGUCUUGCUUGAGAAUGCUUCGGGCACCUGGCUGUAGAAGGAAGAAUAGAAAUUGCGAUAACAAAAUCCUAAAUAGAAUACUAACAAUGCUCUAAUUAGACUAUAAUAAUGAUAAACAAACGUGAUCAAAUUCAAAAAAAUUCAAAGAAAUUUCAAAAAAAUAAUAAAAUUCUUAAAGAAAUAUUAGAAUCAUCACAAAUUUUACUCAAAUAUAUGUCAAUUCAACCUUAAUUUAAUUCUAGUUAAAACCCUAUUGAAUUUCACUCAACUUUAGACCAAACCUAAUUAAAUCUUAAACCCUAAUAAUUCCUAUACCCUAAGUCAAAUCCUAAACAAAUCUUAAAUUAAACCCUAUUCCAAAUUCUAAACCCUAAACCAAAUCCUAAAUUAAAUCCUAAACCAAACCUUAAUCCAACCUUAAACCCUAAACCAAAUCUUAAAUCAAAUCCUAACCAGAUCCUAAUCCAAACCCUAAAUCAAACCCUAACCAAACCCUAAAGUCUAAUCCAAAUCCUAAUCCAAACCCUAAUCCAACCUUAAACUCUAAUCCAAAUCCUAAACCCUAAACCAAACCUUAAAUCAAACCCUAACCAAAUUCUAGUCCAAACUCUAAUUCAAAUCCUAAAUCAAACCCUAACCAAACCCUAAACUCUAAUCCAAACUCUAAUUCAACCCUAAACUCUAAUCCAAAUCCUAAACCCUAAACCAAACCUUAAAUCAAACUAUGUCACGGCCAUAAUCAUGUAAGCUAAUAAUUACAUAUAGAAAUAGGUAGAAGUAAGUAAAAGUAGAUAAAAGUAAGUUAAUUCUAUAAUAUUUAAUAUAGAAGCUUCCUAGAAACUUCCUAGAUGCUGCUUUGACUUCAUAGGUGUCUUUAAUUGACUUUUUGGAUUAGAAACGUGGUCAACAAGUUGGCCAUGUGCCACACAUGUUGUUAGCUUGAAGAUCAAGCUAACUGUGUGGCCCACACGUAGAAAAACUUGCCUUGUAAGUCAAGGCAUGUGUCCUAUAAAGUCAACACAUAUUGGAGGUCCUAUAGAACGUCGCCACGUAGCCCCUAGUUAGAUAGUAUAUAUAGAGACAAGAGUGAAGGCUUCUUCACUCUUGUCAACUCCUUUCUUGCUCCUAGUCUAGGUUCAAGAGUCUUUAGUUUCUUGUCUUGUGGCAAUAGCCAUUCCAGUUUCCUUUUAAUAUACAUACUUGUUUAUAUUUUGACUUAUUAUAUCGAGAUAGCCUUUUUGUGUAUAUUUUCUCUCAUCGAGUCUUUGUCCUUAACCGAUUGACAAGAGUACACUUACAAUAUCAGAGCUUUGUUUUUCUUGAGUGAGAGUGGAUUACCCCUUUCUCUUGACAAGUUAUAAGCGUAUUAGAAGUUUGCGGAUUACCCACUUCUAAACUGAUAUUGUUCUUAGUAUCUUCUUUGUUAUCAAGUCUUUCUUUUCUUUUGUCUUGAGCAGUAUCAAACAAAUUUUUCUUAGUGUCAUUAUGGUAGAGCUUGUUGAAAUGAAGAGUGCAAUGGCACAAAUGCAAGAGCAAAUGAGGGAGUUAAUGCUUGCGAUGCAUCAACUCAAUUCACCAACACAAGAAAGAACAAGAAUAGCAGAAAGUGGGGAUAUAGAGAUGAUCGGAGCUGCUUCAACAUCUAUAACAAAUCACGUUCCUUCUCCAAUUGUACAACACCCUGUAAGCACUAGAGAACCAAGAAUUGCCUUACCCAAGAAAUUUGAUGGUACGAGAUCUAAGUUUCGAGGGUUCAUCAAUCAAGUACAAUUGGCAAUUGAACUUCAACCGCAAAGCUAUCCAACUCCAGGAUCACAAGUCAGGUUUAUUGGCACUCUACUUUCUGGUUCUGCAUUAUCAUGGUUUUCGUCUUUUCUUGAACAACGAAAUCCAAUAUUGGACAAUUUGGAAGCUUUUUUGGUGGAGUUUCGAUCUAUGUAUGGUGAACACGAUGCAACUCAUGUUGCAACAAAUAAGAUCCGAAUUCUGCGACAAAGAAAUCGCUCAGUAACAGUGUAUGCUUCACAAUUUCGACAACUUGCAAUUGACAUCAAGUGGGAUGAUGCUGCACUCAUUAGUCAAUUUCUUUAUGGAUAGCAAUACGAAGUAAAGAAAUUGAUGCUCAACUUACCUAAUCCUCAAACUUUGAGUAUAGCAAUCGAUUUUGCGGUAAAAUGUGAUAAUCGACUUUUCGAAUUUCGAUCUGAGAAUCAUUCACGGGAACCUCAACGUUAUUACUCAAUGGCAACAUCAACAUCUUUGCCAAACGUACAUUCGAAAGUAGAAGACAUGUAAAUUGACGCGGUACGUUGUCGUAUUACGUGCUUUCCUGCUCGAGAACGUGCCGGGCAUCUGGCUGUAGAAGGUAGUAUGGAGAUUCACCGAUAGUCAAGCAGUCUAUCAGUUUUUGAUUGCUGGAAUAUAAACGAUUGCAACAAUGUACCGUUAUCAUAUAACGUGCUUUCUUGCUCGAAAACGCGUCGGGCGUCUGGCUGUAGAAGGUAGUAUGGAGAUUCACCGAUAGUCAAGCAGUCUAUCAGUUUUUGACUGCUGGAAUAUAAACGACUGCAACAAUGUACCGUAAAUCUACACGAGUGCUCAUCGACUGCUUGUCGAAGUCCUUUUUGCCCCAGCCGAUAGGUCUCUAGACGUUACAGAGAACCCCGUACAACCCAAACUGUUAACCUUCAAUACUCCUUUGUACUUACGAUCUUGUAUCCACUGACUGUCUUAUUAGAUUAAUCCAAUAAAUUUCAUUCACUCCGCAUACUCAAUCCUAUAGACACCCUUUUAAUCCUUCAAUCACAGACGUAACUCGAUUUCACAAAACAGUCAAGAGUAUUCAAACCCACUUCAUUUAAGAAUCCCGAUUCACGAUUACAACACUGACUUCAGCAGCGAUUGCCUCAGUCUUCCCCAAAACUCUACGAAGAAGAAAAAUCCAAAUUCUAUGUCUUUCCUUCCCCGACCCGAAGCAUGAAGCUCCUCUCUCUAAUUCCCUUGAUCUUCAAAAACCUCCAAUGAAAACCGAAAUGGUAACCUUGCCGAAGCUUGAAAACUCGCUCCCCCCCCCGAUUUCUCUCAAAAAAAACCCACUCCCAAAACUAUCUCCCACCUAACCUUAUCCUCUGAAUUUCUUCAAUCUUUCGUCUUAGAUCCGGAAUUGGCUCCCACCUCAAGCUUGGAUCCGAAAUUGGCUCUCGCCGUCAAGCUUUCUCCUCCGUUUUUGCCUUUAAGAAAUCCAUUUACCGAAAACAAUGUUCCCUGAGACGGCACAGAGAACAGGACAGCCUGAAACAGAAUCGAACCUCGUAAUCGGGACCACAUUGAGUCGCUCGAUCAAUUCAGGUCCUAUAUUGGGAAAGAUGCCCGUAGUAACCUGGAUGUUCCCGUAAUUGGGUCAAAUUGGUCCUCGCGUCAGAUUGGCUAAGACCCGUAGUAAGACCUGGAUUUCCCGUAAUUAGACUGCACUGGGUUGACCGGCCAAUUCAGGUCUCAUAUUGGAUAAGAGGACCCGGAUUGGAUUAUCGAAAUUGGAUCCAAUUGGCUCCUCGAACCCGUCUUGUGAAUUGGUCCUUCUCUUCCUGCUGACUCCCAUUAUUGGAAUCGAAUGGAGCAUUUCAGUAUGCCUCGGCUGACUGUAUCGGAGUGACUGAACCUGACCACUCAGUAUUUGUACUGGAGUUGGUCGAUGCUCCCAAUAUUCGAGAUAACUGAAUAUUAAUAAAAUUCCCCUUUCUUUUUAUUUUCACUGUAUACUCGUGUUACAACACGACAUCCACCCCCUCUGAACCUGUGCAUCUUCCGGUAUGCACCAAUUUACCCAAUUGCUGUUUGAUUCAGAAUAUAUCCCCUACGUCUUUGUCCAGUUCGUCGUCAUCACCUUCAUUAUCCAUAUCACUUUCAUCUUCUUGCUGCGGAAUCUCUGUACCUUCAUUAAGGUCUUCCAUAUUCAUCUCCGCCUGUCUUUGUUUAAAUAUUUUUAUUCGCUUCCCUGCAAUUGGUAUUUUCAAUUUUGUACCAUCUAACUCCCGUAAUGAGUAAGUCGCAUUAUCAUGAACAGUUGUUACAACAUAUGGUCCAAACCAACGUUUUAAAAAUUUCCGCAAAGUACUAUGUUGAUUAUCCAGACUAUUGUCAUAAACAAGUACCCAGUCACCUUCCUCGAUUGCUUUUGGUCUCAAUCGAUGUUGCUUAUCGAAUCGCGCCUUGUUUUGUAACCUUGCUCUUUUUAACCUUUCCAAUGCUAUCUGGACAUCUUCCGUUCUUUGCUCCAAUUGUCGAAUCCUAAUAGCCAGAAGUUCUUCUCUUGUCAAUCCAUCUUUUCAUGGUAGCAUACUCCAAGUAAGUACCUUUUCUUCAAUCUGCAUAAUUGGUUUUCGACCUGUCAUAAGUUCUACUAGCAUAUAUCCUGUCACCGAACUAUGUGUUGUUCGAUCAGCCCAUAAUGCAAAUGACAAAAGCCGUGGCCACUCUUUAACCUUCCCAUUACAAGCUUUAAUUAAUGCUUUCACAAUCGGUGGGUGACCACAUUUGCUUUUUGCAUUCCCUUCCGGAUUAUAAGCAGUAGUCAGUGAUAGUUUAACUCUACAUCUUUCAAAGAACUUACGAGCUUCUUGUGCAUUUAAUUCUCCACGAUCUGCAGUGAUUUUUCUUAUGCACCCGUAACGGCAAAUGACAUCUUCAAGCAAAAACCUCCAAAUCCCCUCUGUAGAUUUUGUCCUCAAUGCUCUUCCUUCUACUUGAUUUGAUAAAUCUUUACAAGCUAAAACCAAAUAUCUCAUCUGCCAUAACCCAACUGGCAUAAUAAUCAAAUCAACAACCCAUUUAAAAUGAAUAGCCAGAGGAUACGUAGGAUGAAGACCAUCUCGAUGUCGGAUAUUAGAAUACGAUUGACAAAUUUCACAUGACUCUACAAAUGAGAGCACAUCUCGAUACAUAUUUUUCCACCAAUAUCGUUCCUUGAGUUUAGCAAAAGUAGCCCAGAUUCCUCUAUGCCCUGCCCAUAAACUAUCAUGAAACUCCUUUAAUAAUUUUAGUUUUUCUUCCCUUUUGCCUAUCACUCGUUGUGGCAUCCCAAUUCCUUUCUUCGGUCUCUUCCAUAAGAAUCCAUCUCGAAGUAAAAAUCCAUAUGCUUUUUUUCUUAUUUGUUUGAAUUUUUCUGUAGACCAAUUCCCUUGCUUAGACAAGGUAUUCAAAUAAUGACCAAUAUCCAAUAAUUCUCCUUCAUAAGAUUCUUCAAGAAAUAGCUUGUCUUCUCUGUUGAGAUUUGAUAUUGAAUAGAAUUUCAAUCCGACAUCAUCAAUGUCUUCAACCAUUUCGUCCUCCCUCUCGUAUCUUGCUCGAGAUAGCAUGUCUGCUACUAAAUUGUCUUUUCCAGUGAUAUGCUUAAAUUCUGGAUUUAGUGACUUAAUAUAAGCAAUCCAUCUCAACAUUGCAAUAUCUGGCGUUGAAUAGUUAAUAAUCAUUCCAAGCAAUGGCAAGCAAUCUGUUUCAAUUACUACUACUGCCCCAAUCAAAUAGUCCUUUUCAGCUUUCAUAGCCGAAACGACUCCCCAAAGUUCUCUUUUGACUUGCGAAUAUGCACGCUGAUAAAUACUUAAAACUUUAGCCCCAAAUCGAACUGCAAAUCUACUCCCAUUCGAAUCAUCUUGACCCACCGUCCAUCCAACGGCAAUUGGACUAGCGUCUACAGUAAGAAUCACUGGUCUAUUGCACUUAUAAUCAACCUUCCUCAAUAUUGGAGGUGACAUCAAAAAUUUCUUCAAUCUUUGCAUUGCCUGAAUAUGCCUUUCUUCCCAUUCAAAUCGGUAACCCUUGCGUAACAGUUCAUAUAAUGGAUCCGCUAUGUGAGCAAAAUGAGGGAUCCAGAUUCGAUAAAAUACACAUGCACCCAAAAACCUGCGAACCUCUGUUAAAGAACCACAAUCCUCUUUCAUCCUUCCAAUUGCAUCAACUUUAGUCGGAUCUGGUUUUCUUCCGUAAGAUCCGCAUAAAUGUCCAACAAUUACAACCUCUCGCACUCCAAAUACGGACUUCAUACCCGAUAAUGUAAGAUGAACUUCUCCAAGCCGAGUUAAAAUCUUUUCACAAUCUUGUAUAUGAUCAACAACAUAUCUGCGACAUCCCCUCGUAUCUAAAGUUUCAUCCUUGUCUCCUUCUCUGCACCCUUUUAUAGGAACAUCAUCCAAAAAAGGCAUAGUCUUUUCCGGAAUAAAAUCUCUCAAUACCUUAUUCAUCCCAUUCAUCAUAUGCGCAACUGAGUUGGUCGCGCCUUAAGAAAGAGUGCACAUUCUAACCAAUCCAAGCGGUGUUCUCAUCGUUGUCAUAUCUCUACUUCCUUCGGCAAGUUGAAAUUGAUCAUAACCUGAAUACAAAUCACCCAUUGAAUAGAUCGCCCUUCCAACAAACGCCUCAACAAAUUCAUCCACAAUAGGUCCAAUUCUUGCAUUCCUGACAGUUAAAGCCUUCACCGGCUGCAUAUCUUGAAUAAACCGUAGUGACCCAUUCUUCUUAGGUACCGUAAACCAUCGACUAGAAUACGGCGCAAAUGAAGGUUCUAAUAUUUUCAUCUUUAUCUUUUCUUUCAAUAGUUCCACCAAUUUAGGUAAAUGUGCCCUCGGUACUGGAAUCGGUCUUAGAUUCCAAGGUACAUGCGGUACAGUGAAGAUAACUAUAGGUGUUAUAAUAUUUGGAUCCACACACCCAAUUUCAUGAGAUUCGAAGGCAAACGAUCUACCUUGUUUAGCCCACAUCUUUUUGAAGCAAGUAAUUUCCUUCGGCAAUAAAGAACCAUCAGAACCAAUCUUCAAUUCUUCAAAAGUCUCUUCAAUAAACUGAUGUCCAAUACUCAUUGGAUCUCUUAAACUUGCUUCUUUUGAUGCUUCUCCCAUUUGUUCUUUAGAAUCCUCUGGUAAUGGUCCGGCAACAGGCUUUACCUUCUUAUCUGCCGUUUUAUAUCUCGUCUCUACUGUGACUUCUGGUGCUUGAAAAGAUUCAAGCAUGGUAUAAACCUCUCUCAAAUGAAUCUCAACAAUCUUAUCAUUAUCCCCUAACCUAAUAGAUGUAAUCAAUUCCAAUGAAUCUUCCAGUCCAUUUUCUUCAUAAACACCCAAAAUCCUCUCAUCAUCUUACAAUGUACCUAUCUUGCGUAACUGUCCUUCAAUAUCAUAUAAUCUUUUUCUUUCUUUUCUUUUAAAAUCAUCAACUUUCUUAUACAUAAUAUUUCCAUUCUCCAAUAUACCAAUAAAACUCGCAUCAAAGGCACCUUCAUCUCGCGAGAGUACCUCCUCUUUUGUACCUCCAUAAUCUCGCUUUACAGUGGUACCUCCCCAAAAUCCUUAAAUCCUUCAACAAUCUUUGGCAAUGGUUUCUCCCUCAACCUAUCUCGAUUCCGUUCAUGGUUAGGAGGUACUGUUAGAAAUUGUACAGCUUUCCUCCCAUCUCCGCUCCGUACCCUUGCAUAAGCAGAACCAUCGUCAAGUACCUUUGUUUCCAUCCGUGUUGCCAUGAUAUAAGGUUGUCCUAAAAUCAACGGAUAAGACAUUGUAUCUUGAACGAAGAAAUGUUGCUCCGUCGCAACAUCCCCAAUCCGAAUUUUCACAUCUGGACAAGCUCCAUAUAAUUCGCCUCGUGUGUUAUUAGCUGCUCGUAUUGCCCAUCCAUGUUCCAUAUCAAUUGGCCAUUUUUGCUUCUUAUAAAGAUCUUUAGACAUGAGAUUUAUUUCAGAACCAUGGUCCACCAAAGCAACUAUUGGUUCUUCUAUAUCUCCUACCUUCACCAACACCUCAGUAGUUGCCCUUGCCCAAUGCUUUCGAGUAUAAUGGCUCAAAGUUUCCAUUUCCUUGUCACUAGAAUCUUCGAAACGUACUCGCUGAUUAUAUCCAUUCUUUUCAUUUGUUGGUUGCUUGUAACCAAUAUCAACCUCUUCUUCAUCUCUACAUAUUCUUGCAUCAAUAGCAUGACUCAUUCCAGUUUCGCUCAUUAAUUGCCUCUUUCGCUUAAUGCUGUCAAUGAUAACAUCAUGAAACUCCUUCUUUGCAAUUUCCAAGACUUCUUUCAAUGUGAAUUCCACCUUAGCGUUUAAUAUACGUUCAUCCAACACCCCUUUCAAAUUUGUUGCCGCUUCAAUGUCAGAAAGUAGCUUAUAAGCAAUUGAUUUGCCCUUAUCUUUUGUCUCCGUUGUUUUUUCUCCCAAUGAUGCUGAGGUAUCCUUUACAAGCAGUUCUUGUGAAGCUGCCUCCCGAGCCUUGUCUCCUCGAGUUUGCCUCUUAAAAGAAUUUCCUUCUCUAGUAUCAUCAAAAUUUCCUCAUCUUUUUUCUUCCAUCAAAGCUUCAUGUUGGCUCUUAGCAAUAUAUGCAUGAACUGAAAGAGACUCAAUAGGAUCCUCCCAACCUGUACUUCCUUGUAUUGUAGCUGCAGUUCUCAAUAACGCUUCUCGAGGUAAUUUCCCUUCUUACAUUGUAGAAACGGCAGAAGCCCAAAACUCACUAGUUUCCGUACUUCCACCAAUUGCAUCAUCUACUCUAGCACCAUAACUUGCACUUUCUCGUACUACUGUUUCAUGGUCUUUUAAGUAAUCUUGAACCAAUGCUUUCAUUCCUCCCUUGCCAAAAUUGGUUUGAAGAAGAUCCUCCCUAUCUUUCAAUGCUAUCUUUCCAUCUUUCCAGCAAAUAAUUCCCUGCCGUAUCAUAUUAUUAAAUUCAUUGCAAUCUUUUCUAAUGUGCGAAGCAUCAUCACACCAAAUGCAUCUUUGUACAUACCCUUGUUUUGAAACAUUCUUCGAAUUAUUUAUAGAAGUAUUCUCUUCAAGUCUUGCCAAUUUGAUUUGAAGAUCUCGCAUUCCUCGUAUAAUUUCUUCCAUACCCAUAUCUGCUUUCUUUGACAAGGAUGUCGAAGGUUGAACUAUAGGCAUUGUCGGUGGUGUUGUACGUAUUGGAGCUUUGGGUGCUUGUACUGUUUUCGGAAUAUUGCUCCUAUCCUUCCUCCUCUCUUUUUUUGUAAGCAACCCCACCGCAUCUUCAACGUUCUUCGACUUCGUUGUCAAUCCUUCAUUUACUUCUUUGUCUUCAAGAAGGGGUUUUAAUUUCUCUUGCAAUUCUCCAUCAGCAGCUUGAAGAAAUAGAUCAACUUUAUUCGGCUCCAAUGUCAAUUUUUCUACCUUCGAUAAUUGAGAGUACUGCCUCUCAAAUUCCCUUAGUAGCUCUGUUGCUUGUAAAUUCUUAUUGGGCCGUUCAAUCCAUCCCAGAAACAGCUUCUUAGUAACGCGAUCAGCAUCUUCCAAGAAAUAUUUGUCUUUCAAUGCAUGUGAAAAAUCCUCCCAUGAAUUCCCACAACGAUCCGUAAUCGAUGUAAUGUGGUCCCUUAUCUCCGAUAUCGUGGCAAGUCCAAAUAGUGCAACCAUUUUCUUCUCAGAAACCCGAUUUAAUUCCAUUUCACGAACAUAACAUCUUAAAUACCUUGAAAUAUUCCUCCCAUCAAAUUGAUCAAUUUUAUUGACCACUGCUUGCAAUGCUUUGGUUGCCAAAGCUUCCUUUCGAUCAUUGCUUUGUUGUUGCUGCAUUGACGAUGAGAAGGCUUGAAACAAACUAGCAAUAGACGGAUCCAUGUGCAUACCUUGUCCUUUAGAAGACUCCCCACCAGAAAUUUCUCCCAAAAAUCCUUCAAAAUUUUUAUUUUCGUUUUCCAUAAAAAUAAAGAUAAAAUCAACCGAAAUCCAAUACCUUCUACCUCAAGCUUUCACGUCGGGUUCACCACUUAUGUCGUAUUACGUGCUUUCCUGCUCAAGAACGCGCCGGAUGUCUGGCUAUAGAAGGUAGUAUGGAGAUUUGCCGAUAGUCAAGCAGUCUAUCAGUUUUUGACUGCUGGAAUAUAAACGACUGCAACAAUGUACCGUAAAUCUAUACGGGUGCUCUUCGACUGCUUGUCGAAGUCCUUUUUGCCCCAGCCGGUAGGUCUCUAGACGUUACAGAGAACCCCGUACAACCCAAACUGUUAACCUUCAAUACUGCUUUGUACUUAUGAUCUUGUAUCCAUUGACUGUCUUGUUAGAUUAACCCAAUAAAUUUCAUUCACUCCGCAUACUCAAUCCUAUAGACACUCUUUUAAUCCUUCAAUCACAGACGUAAUUCGAUUUCACAAAACAGUCAAGAGUAUUCAAACCCACUUCAUUUAAAAAUCCCGAUUCACGAUUACAACACUGACUUCAGCAGCGAUUGCCUCAGUCUUCCCCAAAACUCUACGAAGAAGAAAAAUCCAAAUUCUAUGUCUUUCCUUCCCCGACCCGAAGCAUGAAGCUCCUCUCUCUAAUUCCCUUGAUCUUCAAAAACCUCCAAUGAAAACCGAAAUGGUAACCUUGCCGAAGCUUGAAAACUCGCUCCCCCCCCCGAUUUCUCUCAAAAAAAACCCACUCCCAAAACUAUCUCCCACCUAACCUUAUCCUCUGAAUUUCUUCAAUCUUUCGUCUUAGAUCCGGAAUUGGCUCCCACCUCAAGCUUGGAUCCGAAAUUGGCUCUCGCCGUCAAGCUUUCUCCUCCGUUUUUGCCUUUAAGAAAUCCAUUUACCGAAAACAAUGUUCCCUGAGACGGCACAGAGAACAGGACAGCCUGAAACAGAAUCGAACCUCGUAAUCGGGACCACAUUGAGUCGCUCGAUCAAUUCAGGUCCUAUAUUGGGAAAGAUGCCCGUAGUAACCUGGAUGUUCCCGUAAUUGGGUCAAAUUGGUCCUCGCGUCAGAUUGGCUAAGACCCGUAGUAAGACCUGGAUUUCCCGUAAUUAGACUGCAUUUUAUUAAUAUUCAGUUAUCUCGAAUAUUGGGAGCAUCGACCAACUCCAGUACAAAUACUGAGUGGUCAGGUUCAGUGACUCCGUUACAGUCAGCCGGGGCAUACUGGAAUGCCCCGUUCGAUUCCAAUAACGGGAGUCAGUAGGAAGAGAAGGACCAAUUCACACGACGGGUUCGAGGAGCCAAUGGGAUCCAAUUUCGAGAAUCCAAUCCGGGUCCUCUUACCCAAUAUGAGACCUGUAUUGGUGGGGCAACCCAAUGCAGUCUAGUUACGGGAAAUCCAGGUCUUACUACAGGUCUUAGCUAAUUUGACGCGAGGACCAAUUUGACCCAAUUAUGGGAACAUCCAGGUUACUACGGGCAUCUUUCCCAAUAUAGGACCUGAAUUGGUUGGGCGACUCAAUGUGGUCCCGAUUACGGGGUUCCAUUCUGUUUCAGGCUGUCCUGUUCUCUGUGCCGUCUCAGGGAACGUUGUUUUCGGUAAAUGGAUUUCUUAAAGGUAAAAACGGAGGAGAAAGCUUGAGGUGGGAGCCAAUUUCGGAUCCAAGCUUGAGGUGGGAGCCAAUUUUGGAUCUAAGACGGAAGAUUGAAGAAAUUCAGAGGAUAAGGUUAGGGGGGAUAUAGUUUUGGAGUGGUGUGGAUUUCUAUUUUGGGGGGAUGGAAGGUUUUUGAAGAUCAAGGGAAUUAGAGAGAGGAGCUUCAUGCUUCGGGUCGGGGAAGGAAAGACAUAGGAUUUGGAUUUUUCUUCUUCGUAGAGUUUUGGGAAAGACUGAGGCAAUCACUGCUGAAGUCAGUGUUGUAAUGGUGAAUCGGGAUUUUUAAAUGAAGUGGGUUUGAAUACUCUUGACUGUUUUGUGAAAUCGAGUUACGUCUGUGAUUGAAGGAUUAAAAGGGUGUCUAUAGGAUUGAGUAUGCGGAGUGAAUGAAAUUUAUUGGGUUAAUCUAACAAGACAGUCAGUGGAUACAAGAUCGUAAGUACAAAGCAGUAUUGAAGGUUAACAGUUUGGGUUGUACGGGGUUCUCUGUAACGUCUAGAGACCUACCGGCUGGGGCAAAAAGGACUCCGACAAGCAGUCGAAGAGCACCCGUAUAGAUUUACGUACCAUUUCUGCCAUUCGUUUAUAUUCCAGCAGUCAAAAACUGAUAGACUGCUUGANNNNNNNNNNNNNNNNNNNNNNNNNNNNNNNNNNNNNNNNNNNNNNNNNNNNNNNNNNNNNNNNNNNNNNNNNNNNNNNNNNNNNNNNNNNNNNNNNNNNNNNNNNNNNNNNNNNNNNNNNNNNNNNNNNNNNNNNNNNNNNNNNNNNNNNNNNNNNNNNNNNNNNNNNNNNNNNNNNNNNNNNNNNNNNNNNNNNNNNNNNUCCAUUUCGCUCCUCGAACCCGUCUUGUGAAUUGGUCCUUCUCUUCCUGCUGACUCCCAUUAUUGGGAUCAAAUGGAGCAUGUCAGUAUGCCCCGGCUGACUGUAACGGAGUGACUGAACCUGACCACUAAGUAUUUGUACUGGAGUUGGUCGAUGCUCCCAAUAUUCGAGGUAAUUGAAUAGUCAAGGAGUCUAUCAGUUUUUGACUGCUGGAAUAUAAACGACUGCAACAAUGUACCGUAAAUCUAUACGGGUGCUCUUCGACUGCUUGUCGAAGUCUUUUUUUUUUUUUUAUUGCCCCAGCCGGUAGGUCUUUAGACGUUACAGAGAACCCCGAACAAUCCAAACUUUUAAUCUUCAAUAUCCCUUUGUACUUACGAUCUUGUAUCCACUGUCCUGUUAGAUUAACAUAAUAAAUUUCAUUCACUCCGCAUACUCAAUCCUAUAGACACCCUUUUAAUCCUUCAAUCACAGACGUAACUCGAUUUUACAAAACAGUCAAGAGUAUUCAAACCCACUUCAUUUAAAAAUCCUGAUUCACCAUUACAACACUGACUUCAGCAACGAUUAUCUCAAUCUUCUCAAAACUCUACGAAGAAGAAAAAUCCAAAUUCUAUGUCUUUCUUUUCCUGACACGAAGCAUGAAGCUCCUCUCUCUAAUUUCCUUGAUCUUCAAAACCCUCCAAUGAAACCGAACUGGUAACCUUGCAAAAGCUUGAAAACUAGCUCCCCCUUGAUUCCCCCAAAAAAAAACCUCCCUCCCUAAAACUAUAUUCUCCCCUAACCUUAUCCUCUGAAUUUCUUCAAUCUUCCAUCUUAGAUCCGAAAUUGGCUCCCGCCGUCAAAGCUUAGAUCCGAAAUUGGCUCACGUCAUCAAGGCCUUUUCCUCCGUUUUUACCUUUAAGAGAUCCAUUUACCAUAAACAACGUUCCCUGAAACGGCACAGAGAACAGGACAGCCCGAAACAAAAUCGAAACCCCGUAAUCGGGACCACAUUGAGUCGCCCGACCAAUUAAGGUCCUAUAUUGGGAAAGAUGCCCGUAGUAACCUGGAUGUUCCCGUAAUUAGACUGCAUUGGGUUGACCGGCCAAUUUAGGUCUCAUAUUGGAUAAGAGGACCUGGAUUGGAUUAUCGAAAUUGGAUCCAAUUGGCUCCUCGAAUCCGUCGUGUGAAUUGGUCCUUCUCUUCCUGCUGACUCCCGUUAUUGGAAUCAAACGGAGCAUUUCAGUAUGCCCCGGCUGACUGUAACGGAGUGACUGAACCUGACCACUCAGUAUUUGUACUGGAGUUGGUCGAUGCUCCCAAUAUUCGAGGUAACUGAAUAUUAAUAAAAUUCCCCUUUCUUUUUAUUUUCACUGUAUACUCGUGUUACAACACGACAACGUUUUAAACCCCUAACUGAGCAAGAAAAGAUUCGUCGUCGUCAAGAAGGAUUAUGUUUAUAUUGCGGAGAACCUAAGCACACUACUCAACAUUUUCCAAAGAAAUGACGCAACUAUAAAAUGAGGGGUACGACGGUCAAAGAAGACAACAUGUCGGAAAACGGAUUCGUCCAGCUACAAUAGGGACCGUGCAGCUGGAACCUUGUACAAUUCCUAAUGAAGGUCCUAUCCUCUCCUCAGAACCCUCUCCUUGUUUUAUAAUAGACUUAUAUUUAGGACCUAAGAAUUACAAAGCCUCUGCUUUAUUAGAUUCGGGAGCCUCAGCAUAUUUUUUAGAUGAACAAUUUGUUAAAAGUCGUAAAAUACCUUUUAUACAGAAAUCUAAACCAGUACAUGUAGAAGUCAUAGAUGGUCGUCCCUUGUCUUCUGGAGAUGUCACUCAUGAAACUCAUCCUAUAAAAGUAACAAUAGACGGUCAUGAUAGCUACAUAGCUUUUAACAUAAUUAAAUCCCCGUUCAAUCCAGUUAUUUUAGGUUUAUCAUGGCUAGAAAAAUAUAACCCUCGAAUAGAUUGGAAUUCACAUAAACUUGACUUUUCCUAGAGCGUUAUUAAUAGUUCUACUAACCAAGUAAAAAAUUAUAAGUCUAGUACAGUAAAACCCGUACUGAUAGGUGCAAAAGCAUUUAUACACGCAGCAAAAGAAGGAUCAACUUUUGCUAUUUAUGCUGCACCUAUUUCUGAAAACGUAAAGACUUCAAGUGGCAUUCCAAGUCAAUAUCAGGAGUAUCAAGACGUUUUUGAGAAAAAAAAUGCAAAUAUUCUUCCUGAGCAUCGUCCAUAUGAUUGUUCAAUCGACCUCAAGGAAGGAACUCAGCCACCAUUUGGACCAAUUUACAGUUUAUCGCAAGAUGAGAUGGUUGAACUCAAGACAUAUAUUGACGAGAAUUUAGCGAAGAAUUUCAUAUGCCAUUCAAAAUCUCCAGCAAGAGCUCCAAUUCUAUUCGUAAAGAAAAAAGAUGGAUCUUUAUGAAUGUGUGUUGAUUAUCGAGGACCCAAUAAGAUCACAAUCAAGAACAGGUAUCCAUUACCUUUGAUAUCAGGACUCCUUGACCAGUUGAAUCAAGCUAAGAUCUAUACAAAAAUAGAUCUAUGAGGAGCAUAUAAUCUAGUACGGAUCAAAGAAGGAGAUGAAUGGAAGACUGCGUUUUGAACCAAGUAUGGACAUUUCGAAUAUAAUGUCAUGCCCUUUGGACUCACGAAUGCACCAGCUGCUUUCUAACAUCUCAUGAAUGAUGUAUUUUAUGAAUUCUUAGACAAUUUUGUCGUCUGCUAUCUAGAUGAUAUCCUAAUCUAUUCUAAGAAUGUCGAAGAACAUGAAAUACAUGUUUGUCAAGUAUUACAAAAACUUAGAGAUGCAGGAUUGUACGCCAAGAUGGAAAAGUGUGUAUUUCACACUACUCAAGUUGACUUUUUAGGAUACAUCAUUUCAAAUGAUGGUCUCAUGAUGGAUUCUAAGAAAGUCCAAACAAUCAUGGAUUGGAAGAUUCCAAGGAUAGUAAGAGAUGUCCAAUGUUUCUUGGGAUUUGCCAAUUACUAUCGGAUCUUCAUCAAAGACUUUUCACGAGUUGCAGCUCCACUUACACGCUUGACCAAUAAAGACAAAUUUCAAUGGAAUCAAGAAGCGGAAGCAGCAUUUGAAGCCUUGAAGACAUCGUUUGUAUCUGCACCAGUCUUAUAUCAUGUUGACUUUUCCAAGGCAUUUUUUAUGGAAACAGACACAUCGAAUUUUGCCUUGGGUGCAGUUUUAUCACAAAUGGGAACAGAUGACAAACUUCAUCCGAUAGCUUUUCAUUCAAGAAAAUUCUCAGCAGCCGAGAUCAAUUAUGAGAUCCACGAUAAAGAACUUCUUGCGAUCGUGGAUUCCUUUUAAGAAUGGCGUCAUUAUCUAGAAGACGCUUCUAGUCCAGUCACUGUGUAUACAGAUCACAAGAACCUCGAGUAUUUCAUGUCAGCACGCAUGUUGAAUCGUCGUCAAGCUCGUUGGAGUAUGUCUUUGUCAAGAUUCGAGUUCAUUAUCACUUAUCGGCCAAGAAAACAACAAGGUUUAUCCGAUGCCCUAUCUAGACGUUCUUAUUUUGUACCAAAAGAAGGAGAUGCAGCUUUUGAGCAACAAAGAACGGUCCUCUUGAAACCGGAGCAAUUUCAUCUCCGAGCAAUGAAAUCAACAUUGACUGUUGAUUCAACUUUUCUCAAGCAAAUCCAGUCCAGUAUGUCCUCAGACCCUCUUGUUCAUGAUAUCGAGAAUAAUUCUUCUAAGUCUCAUGAUCUUUCUAAGUUCGAGUUCAAGAAUAAUCUAUUAUAUUUUGAAGGAUGCCUAUAUGUUCCAGAAGGAGAAGCACGUUUACGUGUUCUUCAAGCACGUCAUGACUUUCCAGCAGCAGGGCACUUUGGAUAUAAUAAGACUUUGGAACUCAUAUCAAGAGAUUUUUGGUGGCCACAAAUGUGGAAGUCAGUCAAAGACUUUGUACAAUCAUAUGAUAUUUGUUCAAGAUCAAAAAUUCCUCGUCAUCGACCUUACGGACUUCUUCAGCCAUUACCUAUACCAGAACAACCAUGGUCUUCUGUUUCUAUGGAUUUCAUCACAGAUCUUCCAAGCUCAAGAUCUUAUGAUUCUAUAUUUGUGAUAGUAGAUCGUUUCACCAAGAUGGCACAUUUUGUGCCAUGUACAAAAUCUAUCACAAGUGAAGAAACAGCUAAGCUUUUCAUUGAUAAUAUCUAUUGCUAUCAUGGAUUACCUAAAGAUAUCAUAUCGGAUAGGAGAACUCAAUUUGUGUCAAGAUUUUGGAGGACCCUUUUCAAGAUUUUAAAAGUGGACAUAAAGCUAUCUUCGGCUUUCCAUCCUCAAACUGAUGGACAAAUAGAGCACGUAAACUAAGUCUUGGAGCAAUAUUUAAGGUGUACUAUCAACUACCAACAAGAUGAUUGGACAACCCUUCUGCCAUUGGCACAGUUUGCUUAUAAUAAUACGGUACAUUCUUCCACGCAACAAACACCUUUCUUUGCCAAUUAUGGCUAUCAUCCACGACUUGAUACUUUUGAUUUUUCAAAAGUUGAUAAUCCUGCAGCACAAGAUAUGGCAAAUCGGUUGUCAGAGUUACAUGCAAUAAUGAAGACGCAAUUGAAAGAAGCUCAAGAACGACAAAAGAUAAACGCAGAUCUAUAUCGUAAGGAGCAACUACAACUCAAUGUGGGUGAUAAGGUAUGGCUACUUCGUCGCAAUAUCAAGACUACUUGACCUUGUGACAAGUUGGACUAUCGUAGGCUUGGCCCUUUUUCUGUUUCUGAACAGAUCAACCCAAUUGCAUAUCUGUUACAUCUACCGGAGUCAAUGAAGAUCCAUCCUGUAUUCCACAUGUCUCUUCUUGAACCAUAUAAGACAGUGGAUAUACAAGGAAGAAGACAAAUGCCACCACCUCCUAUAGAAGUAGAUAAUAAUGAAGAAUUUGAGGUGGAAGAGAUAUUAGACUCAAGGCGGCGCCGAAAUAAGUUGGAAUAUCUUGUUCAUUAGCGCGGAUAUGAUAUUAGUGAACGCACAUGGGAGCCAUCCAGGAAUCUAGCAAAUGCAUUAGCUAAAGUCAAAGUUUUUCAUCAACGACAUCCAUCGAAACCAAGAUGAAAAUCUCUCUUAUAAAAGAGACAAAAUUGAGGCAAGAUAACAUUCAAUUUCCUAUCCUUGUUUGUAACUUCUUUGCAUUUGUGACACUAAUUAGAUGUAGAGCCAACAACCAGCGGAUUCAACUCAAGAACCUUCGUUUGCUGACCUGCCGGACGAGACAUUACGAUUGUCACAACCUUCAAGACGACGCAAUCGAGAUGAAGAUCUUCAAGAACGACAUGUUCUUCCUCGAAUAGAUGGUGAGAUACAACGCGUUUGGUAUCACGAUUUGGGAAGGGACUCCCGAUGUUUGGUGAUUUUGCUAGAGGUAGGAACAACUCCUGAUGGUGUUCCAAAUAUUCUAUUCGAAGGAAGUUACGAAGGCCUCAACAAUGAUCAAAUAACUGGGUGGUCUUCCCGCCCUGGUAUGGGACACUACCGAUGGUUGAGAGGCCCUAUCAAUCAUCUUCGAAGAGAACAGAGAUCAGAGUAUGUGGCGAAUACAAUUCGUCGCAUCAUAGAUUUCCUCAACAUAUGAUGACCACUCCUUGUGGAACUCGUCUCUCGAAGGGGGGGUAAUGUCACGGCCAUAAUCAUGUAAGCUAAUAAUUACAUAUAGAAAUAAGUAGAAGUAAGUAAAAAUAGAUAAAAGUAAGUUAAUUCUAUAAUAUUUAAUAUAGAAGCUUUCUAGAAACUUCCUAGACGUUGCUUUGACUUCAUAGGUGUCUUUAAUUGACUUUUUGGAUUAGAAACGUGGUCAACAAGUUGGCCAUGUGCCACACAUGUUGUUAGCUUGAAGAUCAAGCUAACUAUGUGGCCUACACGUAAAAAAACUUGCCUUAUAAGUCAAGGCAUGUGUCCUACAAAGUCAACACAUAUUGGAGGUCCUAUAGAACGUCGCCACAUAGCCCCUAGUUAGAUAGUAUAUAUAGAGACAAGAGUGAAGGCUUCUUCACUCUUGUCAACUCCUUUCUUGCUUCUAGUCUAGGUUCAAGAGUCUUUAGUUUCUUGUCUUGUGGCAAUAGCCAUUCUAGUUUCCUUUUAAUAUACCUACUUAUUUAUAUUUUGACUUAUUAUAUCGAGAUAGCCUUUUGUGUAUAUUUUCCCUCAUCGAGUCUUUAUCCUUGAUAAACUAUAACCAAAUCCUAAUCCAAAUCCUAAUCCAAAUCCUAAAUCAAACCCUAACCAAAUCCUGAACCGUAAUCCAAAUCCUAAAUCAAACCCUAACCAAAUCCUGAACCGUAAUCCAAACCCUAAAUCAAACCUUAAAUCAAAUCCUAACCAAAUCCUAAUCCAAAUCCUAAUCCAA
RNAcentral lists this long non-coding RNA (18628 nucleotides) under Physcomitrium patens. Its description in RNAcentral is "long non-coding RNA (PPAT_LNC008002)". Lineage: Eukaryota; Viridiplantae; Streptophyta; Bryopsida; Funariales; Funariaceae. The record is from RNAcentral.